CGACCGGCGCACGGGUGAGUAACACGUAUCCAACCUGCCGAUAACUCGGGGAUAGCCUUUCGAAAGAAAGAUUAAUAUCCGAUAGCAUAUCAAGAUCGCAUGAUCUUGAUAUUAAAGAAUUUCGGUUAUCGAUGGGGAUGCGUUCCAUUGGUUAGUUGGCGGGGUAACGGCCCACCAAGACGACGAUGGAUAGGGGUUCUGAGAGGAAGGUCCCCCACAUUGGAACUGAGACACGGUCCAAACUCCUACGGAAGGCAGCAG
RNAcentral lists this ribosomal RNA (261 nucleotides) under uncultured bacterium. RNAcentral's name for it is "partial 16S ribosomal RNA". It matches the Rfam family "Bacterial small subunit ribosomal RNA", at positions 92 to 354 of the family's 1533-position model. The record is from RNAcentral.